UGGGGAAUUUUGGACAAUGGGCGCAAGCCUGAUCCAGCCAUUCCGCGUGAGUGAAGAAGGCCUUCGGGUUGUAAAGCUCUUUCGCAAGGGAAGAAAACUUAUCCUCUAACAUAGGAUGAGGUUGACGGUACCUUGAUAAGAAGCACCGGCUAACUACGUGCCAGCAGCCGCGGUAAUACGUAGGGUGCGAGCGUUAAUCGGAAUUACUGGGCGUAAAGCGUGCGCAGGCGGUUUUGUAAGUCAGAUGUGAAAUCCCCGAGCUCAACUUGGGAACUGCGUUUGAAACUACAAGACUAGAAUAUGUCAGAGGGGGGUAGAAUUCCACGUGUAGCAGUGAAAUGCGUAGAGAUGUGGAGGAAUACCAAUGGCGAAGGCAGCCCCCUGGGAUAAUAUUGACGCUCAUGCACGAAAGCGUG
This 416-nucleotide ribosomal RNA is filed under the name uncultured bacterium. RNAcentral's name for it is "bacterial SSU rRNA". It matches the Rfam family "Bacterial small subunit ribosomal RNA", at positions 355 to 763 of the family's 1533-position model. The record is from RNAcentral.